UCCCCAGUGGCGCAAUUGGUUAGCGCACGGUACUUAUAAGACAGUACUUGUGAGUUAUGCCGGGGUUGUGAGUUCGAGCCUCACCUGGGGAA
Molecule: transfer RNA, 92 nt
Filed under: Rhipicephalus microplus (southern cattle tick)
Lineage: Eukaryota; Metazoa; Arthropoda; Arachnida; Ixodida; Ixodidae
Also listed under: 3 other names
Rfam family: tRNA
About the family: Transfer RNA (tRNA) molecules are approximately 80 nucleotides in length. Their secondary structure includes four short double-helical elements and three loops (D, anti-codon, and T loops).
Source: Rfam by way of RNAcentral